Molecule: ribosomal RNA, 484 nt
Filed under: uncultured bacterium
Lineage: Bacteria
Description: partial 16S ribosomal RNA
Rfam family: Bacterial small subunit ribosomal RNA
Source: RNAcentral
AUUGAACGCUGGCGGCAGGCCUAACACAUGCAAGUCGAGCGGAUGAAGGGAGCUUGCUCCUGGAUUCAGCGGCGGACGGGUGAGUAAUGCCUAUGAAUCUGCCUGGUAGUGGGGGAUAACGUCCGGAAACGGGCGCUAAUACCGCAUACGUCCUGAGGGAGAAAGUGGGGGAUCUUCGGACCUCACGCUCUCAGAUGAGCCUAGGUCGGAUUAGCUAGUUGGUGGGGUAAAGGCCUACCAAGGCGACGAUCCGUAACUGGUCUGAGAGGAUGAUCAGUCACACUGGAACUGAGACACGGUCCAGACGCCUACGGGAGGCAGCAGUGGGGAAUAUUGGACAAUGGGCGAAAGCCUGAUCCAGCCAGGCCGCGUGUGUGAAGAAGGUCUUCGGAUUGUAAAGCACUUUAAGUUGGGAGGAAGGGCAGUAAGUUAAUACCUUGCUGUUUUGACGUUACCAACAGAAUAAGCACCGGCUAACUUCGUG